GCAUAUCAAUAAGCGGAGGAAAAGAAACCAACCGGGAUUACCUCAGUAACGGCGAGUGAAGCGGUAACAGCUCAAAUUUGAAAUCUGGCUCCUUCGGAGUCCGAGUUGUAAUUUGUAGAAGAUGCUUUGGGUUGUGGGCUCGGCCUAAGUUCCUUGGAACAGGACGUCAUAGAGGGUGAGAAUCCCGUAUGUGGCCAUGGCCCGCGCCUAUGUAAAGCUCUUUCGACGAGUCGAGUUGUUUGGGAAUGCAGCUCAAAAUGGGUGGUAAAUUUCAUCUAAAGCUAAAUAUGGGCCAGAGACCGAUAGCGCACAAGUAGAGUGAUCGAAAGAUGAAAAGCACUUUGGAAAGAGAGUUAAACAGUACGUGAAAUUGUUGAAAGGGAAGCGCUUGCAACCAGACUUGGGCGCUGCCGAUCACCCCGAGUUCUCUCGGGUGCACUCGACAGCGCACAGGCCAGCAUCGGUUCGGGUGGCUGGAUAAAGGCCGUAGGAAUGUAGCUCUCUUCGGGGAGUGUUAUAGCCCACGGUGCCAUGCAGCCCAGCCGGACCGAGGACCGCGCCUUCGGGCUAGGAUGCUGGCGUAAUGGUUGUAAGCGACCCGUCUGAAACACGGACC
RNAcentral lists this ribosomal RNA (616 nucleotides) under Erysiphe neolycopersici. Its description in RNAcentral is "partial 28S ribosomal RNA". It matches the Rfam family "Eukaryotic large subunit ribosomal RNA", at positions 38 to 667 of the family's 3401-position model. Lineage: Eukaryota; Fungi; Ascomycota; Leotiomycetes; Helotiales; Erysiphaceae. The record is from RNAcentral.